RNAcentral lists this ribosomal RNA (496 nucleotides) under uncultured bacterium. RNAcentral's name for it is "partial 16S ribosomal RNA". It matches the Rfam family "Bacterial small subunit ribosomal RNA", at positions 28 to 506 of the family's 1533-position model. The record is from RNAcentral.
GAUGAACGCUGGCGGCGUGCCUAAUACAUGCAAGUCGAGCGAACAGACGAGGAGCUUGCUCCUCUGACGUUAGCGGCGGACGGGUGAGUAACACGUGGAUAACCUACCUAUAAGACUGGGAUAACUUCGGGAAACCGGAGCUAAUACCGGAUAAUAUAUUGAACCGCAUGAUUCAAUAGUGAAAGACGGUUUUGCUGUCACUUAUAGAUGGAUCCGCGCCGCAUUAGCUAGUUGGUAAGGUAACGGCUUACCAAGGCAACGAUGCGUAGCCGACCUGAGAGGGUGAUCGGCCACACUGGAACUGAGACACGGUCCAGACUCCUACGGGAGGCAGCAGUAGGGAAUCUUCCGCAAUGGGCGAAAGCCUGACGGAGCAACGCCGCGUGAGUGAUGAAGGUCUUCGGAUCGUAAAACUCUGUUAUUAGGGAAGAACAAAUGUGUAAGUAACUAUGCACGUCUUGACGGUACCUAAUCAGAAAGCCACGGCUAACUACGU